GACGAACGCUGGCGGCGUGCUUAACACAUGCAAGUCGAACGGAAAGGCCCUGCUUUUGUGGGGUGCUCGAGUGGCGAACGGGUGAGUAACACGUGAGUAACCUGCCCUUGACUUUGGGAUAACUUCAGGAAACUGGGGCUAAUACCGGAUAGUAGCUCCUGCUGCAUGGUGGGGGUUGGAAAGUUUCGGCGGUUGGGGAUGGGCUCGCGGCUUAUCAGCUUGUUGGUGGGGUAGUGGCUUACCAAGGCUUUGACGGGUAGCCGGCCUGAGAGGGUGACCGGCCACAUUGGGACUGAGAUACGGCCCAGACUCCUACGGGAGGCAGCAGUGGGGAAUAUUGCACAAUGGGCGGAAGCCUGAUGCAGCAACGCCGCGUGCGGGAUGACGGCCUUCGGGUUGUAAACCGCUUUCGCCUGUGACGAAGCGUGAGUGACGGUAAUGGGUAAAGAAGCACCGGCUAACUACGUG
This 468-nucleotide ribosomal RNA is filed under the name uncultured bacterium. Its description in RNAcentral is "partial 16S ribosomal RNA". It matches the Rfam family "Bacterial small subunit ribosomal RNA", at positions 28 to 507 of the family's 1533-position model. The record is from RNAcentral.